UACGUAGGGUGCAAGCGUUGUCCGGAAUUAUUGGGCGUAAAGAGCUCGUAGGCGGUUUGUCGCGUCUGCUGUGAAAACUCGGGGCUUAACCCCGGGUCUGCAGUGGAUACGGGCAGGCUAGAGGUAGGUAGGGGAGAAUGGAAUUCCCGGUGUAGCGGUGAAAUGCGCAGAUAUCGGGAGGAACACCGGUGGCGAAGGCGGUUCUCUGGGCCUUACCUGACGCUGAGGAGCGAAAGCGUGGGGAGCAAACGGG
This 253-nucleotide ribosomal RNA is filed under the name uncultured bacterium. Its description in RNAcentral is "partial 16S ribosomal RNA". It matches the Rfam family "Bacterial small subunit ribosomal RNA", at positions 524 to 776 of the family's 1533-position model. The record is from RNAcentral.